RNAcentral lists this ribosomal RNA (1050 nucleotides) under Bacillus inaquosorum. RNAcentral's name for it is "bacterial SSU rRNA". It matches the Rfam family "Bacterial small subunit ribosomal RNA", at positions 283 to 1319 of the family's 1533-position model. Lineage: Bacteria; Bacillati; Bacillota; Bacilli; Caryophanales; Bacillaceae. The record is from RNAcentral.
GUAGCAGACGUGAGAGGGUGAUCGGCCACACUGGGAGUGAGACACGGCCCAGACUCCUACGGGAGGCAGCAGUAGGGAAUCUUCCGCAAUGGACGAAAGUCUGACGGAGCAACGCCGCGUGAGUGAUGAAGGUUUUCGGAUCGUAAAGCUCUGUUGUUAGGGAAGAACAAGUACCGUUCGAAUAGGGCGGUACCUUGACGGUACCUAACCAGAAAGCCACGGCUAACUACGUGCCAGCAGCCGCGGUAAUACGUAGGUGGCAAGCGUUGUCCGUGAAUUAUUGGGGGCGUAAAGGGCUCGCAGGCGGUUUUCUUAAGUUUGAUGUGAAAGCCCCCGGCUCAAGCGGGGAGGGUCAUUGGAAACUGGGGAACUUGAGUGCAGAAGAGGAGAGUGGAAUUCCACGUGUAGCGGUGAAAUGCGUAGAGAUGUGGAGGAACACCAGUGGCGAAGGCGACUCUUUGUGUCUGUAACUGACGCUGAGGAGCGAAAGCGUGGGGAGCGAACAGGAUUAGAUACCCUGGUAGUCCACGCCGUAAACGAUGAGUGUUAAGUGUUAGGGGGUUUCCGCCCCUUAGUGCUGCAGCUAACGCAUUAAGCACUCCGCCUGGCGGAGUACGGUCGCAAGACUGAAACUCAAAAGAAUUGACGGGGGCCCGCACAACCGGUGGAGCAUGUGGUUUAAUUCGAAGCAACGCGAAAAACCUUACCAGGUCUUGACAUCCUCUGACAAUCCUAGAGAUAGGACGUCCCCUUCGGGGGCAGAGUGACAGGUGGUGCAUGGUUGUCGUCAGCUCGUGUCGUGAGAUGUUGGGUUAAGUCCCGCAACGAGCGCAACCCUUGAUCUUACUUGCCAGCAUUCAGUUGGGCACUCUAAGGUGACUGCCGGUGACAAACCGGAGGAAGGUGGGGAUGACGUCAAAUCAUCAUGCCCCUUAUGACCUGGGCUACACACGUGCUACAAUGGACAGAACAAAGGGCAGCGAAACCGCGAGGUUAAGCCAAUCCCACAAAUCUGUUCUCAGUUCGGAUCGCAGUCUGCAACUCGACUGC